GCCCCUUCAAGGACAUCCGAUAAGAUUGGAACGGUACAGAGAAGAUUAGCAUGGUCCCUGCGCAAGGAUGACACGCACAAAUCGGAAAAGAAAAGGAGGCAU
Small nuclear RNA from Coffea arabica (coffee), 102 nucleotides. NCBI's taxonomy places the organism in Eukaryota, Viridiplantae, Streptophyta, Magnoliopsida, Gentianales, Rubiaceae. The record is from RefSeq and is a predicted model, not a curated record.